UGGCCUAGAGAGAAUCUGCAAGUAGCAGG
RNAcentral lists this non-coding RNA (29 nucleotides) under Rattus norvegicus (Norway rat). Lineage: Eukaryota; Metazoa; Chordata; Mammalia; Rodentia; Muridae. The record is from RNAcentral.